Long non-coding RNA from Mastomys coucha (southern multimammate mouse), 1412 nucleotides. RefSeq lists it as uncharacterized. The record is from RefSeq and is a predicted model, not a curated record. NCBI's taxonomy places the organism in Eukaryota, Metazoa, Chordata, Mammalia, Rodentia, Muridae. The transcript is spliced from 6 exons.
UAGUUAACUUGUGAGCCCAGCUGCGUCUCUGCUGUUUGCUGUGUCAGAAGCACGAAGAGUAGCAGGAGAAGUGGAGAGUGAGCGGUCUUCAUUGCAGCAGACACAAGUUGGCAGUUGUAUAGUCGAGUUUUUGUUGCUCGUUGUCAUUCCUUAUCUCUCACUGUUACACCUUCACUAAAUAACUUGAUGUGGAUGCUUAAAUGAGUGGAUGGAGUUUUGUUCAUGUCCAUUAUGCAUUGUCAACUUUGCACUGUGGGCAGGUGGAGAGGACAGCUGUUGUCUUCACAGUGUUACUUGAUCAUCCUUAGGAAGAGUCCAUCAUUAGAAGUGGUAUACUCAGAGGACUUUAUGUAAUUUAUCAUCGUCAUUGUCAGGAACGUGCAUGCCAGGACACAUGUGGCAGAGGAAAAGUUGACAACCUGCAUGACUCCUGAAAACUUGGGUCUUCAGUUGAAUUGUUUCACCAUUAGUGCUCCUCUGCUCACCAUAAUAAAUACUAUGUAUACGAGGGAAGCAGAAGAAGAUGUAUGAACUUAUUGGUUCUUUCAGCUUAUUUUGGUCCACGCGAAGGAUGGUCUCCACCUCCUAAAAUUCAGGCAGUCUUUACUGCCUUAACCUUCUGAGUUAAGAUGCCAUGAGAUAUUCAUGUACAAUUGAAAGCUGCUGUCCAGUUGACACCAACUCACAUACACUAGAGGACUUCCCGGUCUGUGUUCAUUGGGAGAUGAUACACCUAACCCUCAAGAGACUUGAGGCCCCAGUGAGUUUAGAGGUCAGGUAGGAUGGGGGUGGGGAGGGCAGUGGGAGGGUCAUCCACGUGGAGACGGGAGUGGGGAAGAGGUAUGAAAAACAGUCAGAGGGUGGAUGGGGUGAGGGGAAUAAAACAUGAAAUGUAAAACAUAAAUUAAUUUUAAAAAUAAAUUUUAAAAAAUUUAAGCAUUUUUAUUUUCCUCACAGACCUUUUUUCUCCUCUCUUCUCAUUAGGGGUUUUAUGAGAGAAUAAGCAAAUGUCCUAGUAUCACUGUGUGUUAGUGAAAUAAUUUACAUUUUAUUCCUUUAGAAUGCUACUCCUCUUUUCACCAUUGGUUAUAACUGAGAAAAUAGUUAAUCAUUUCUCUGACAGAACUCCAUUUGUUCUUUUUCUCCCAUGUUAUUAUCUCAGCUCUUCCUAUGCACUCAUGCCCUGGGCCUGCUAAUUACCAGAGGCAUAUUCUGAAUUUUGAACAACCCAUACUCUGACCAUAUCUUCAGUAGUACCUGCAACCACAAGUGGUUCCUGAGUUUCAGGGGAGUCUAAUGUGUGUUGAUGCUACUGGCUUUUCCUUGCCUCCAUCCACACCUCCUCACAGUCGGAAGUUCCUUCUGCCUGAGAUGCUCUUUCUCUUUUGCACAUUCCCUGAGUUUUCUGAGUU